RNA transcript from Bombyx mori (domestic silkworm), 1000 nucleotides. It is a transcript of the gene named splicing factor 3B subunit 5, with no coding region annotated. NCBI's taxonomy places the organism in Eukaryota, Metazoa, Arthropoda, Insecta, Lepidoptera, Bombycidae. The transcript is spliced from 3 exons. The record is from RefSeq and is a predicted model, not a curated record.
GUAUCUAUGGUUUAGAUACGCCGUGUCUGCAGUAAUCUGCACUGCAAUUUAUGUAUUGUCUAUGAAUACUCUUUGUUUUGGGCUGCUACGUGAUAUCAAUAUUAGCUGAAUUAGAAUAUAAACUUUAGAGUCUAUACGAUUUCAACAAGCAUCUUGCCUUUAAAAAUAAAAUGGGUGAAAGAUACAACAUUCACAGUCAACUUGAACAUCUACAGAGCAAAUAUAUAGGCACAGGCCACGCCGACACUACAAAAUAUGAAUGGCUUAUGAACCAACAUCGCGACUCUUGCUGCAGUUACAUGGGUCAUCCGGAUUUGUUGAGUUACUUUGCGAUCGUAGAAAAUGAAUCUAAAGCGCGCGUAAAAUUCAAUUUGAUGGAACGAAUGCUUCAACCAUGCGGCCCACCGCCAGAAAAGCCUGAAGAUUAAACGCUUCGAUUUUAAAAAUAGAAUUAAGCUAAUUUACUUAUUAUUUGACUUUGAAUCCCUUAUCAUGACAUAAAUUCGAGCAGUUUGUUUUCAUUUCUAUAACCUUUAACAAACACAAUUAGUCUAUUCAAAUAGUACCACCAAAAACUCAACUAUUAUCAAUAAAAACUACAAAUUUUAAUAACAGGUAUAGUUUAUAGUUUAGAAUUGGUUCAAUGGUCAAAUGUUUGACAAUCUUAUUUUUAUAUACAAACUUGUUUCAUAUUGUUUUAUCUCAAAGAAAUCAGUUUUGAUUUCCAUUUAGCCUUAUAUAUAUACAUUUAAAUAUAAAGUAAUUUAAGAGAUUCUUUAAAUAACCUGGGAGUAUUUUAAUCAUGCAUAUGCUUAUUAAAAUAUUGAAAGCUUCUUUUUGAUAUUUUUAUUAUGUAUGUCUAAAAUUGUUAAAUAGGUUACAUUACAAUGAACCACCAAAACUGUAAAAUUUAGGAAAUACAUUCAUCUUUCAAAGGGGAAGCCAAGUAAAAUGCAAAUUAGUAUUCAUUGACCAUUUAAUAAAGAUCUCCAUUCGUCCA